CAACUUGAGAGUUUGAUCCUGGCUCAGAACGAACGCUGGCGGCAGGCUUAACACAUGCAAGUCGAGCGCCCCGCAAGGGGAGCGGCAGACGGGUGAGUAACGCGUGGGAAUCUACCCAUCUCUACGGAACAACUCCGGGAAACUGGAGCUAAUACCGUAUACGUCCUUCGGGAGAAAGAUUUAUCGGAGAUGGAUGAGCCCGCGUUGGAUUAGCUAGUUGGUGGGGUAAUGGCCUACCAAGGCGACGAUCCAUAGCUGGUCUGAGAGGAUGAUCAGCCACACUGGGACUGAGACACGGCCCAGACUCCUACGGGAGGCAGCAGUGGGGA
Molecule: ribosomal RNA, 329 nt
Filed under: Mesorhizobium sp.
Lineage: Bacteria; Pseudomonadati; Pseudomonadota; Alphaproteobacteria; Hyphomicrobiales; Phyllobacteriaceae
Description: bacterial SSU rRNA
Rfam family: Bacterial small subunit ribosomal RNA
Source: RNAcentral